AGAGUUUGAUCCUGGCUCAGGAUGAACGCUAGCUACAGGCUUAACACAUGCAAGUCGAGGGGCAGCAUGGUCUAGCAAUAGACUGAUGGCGACCGGCGCACGGGUGAGUAACACGUAUCCAACCUACCGGCUAUUCCGGGAUAGCCUUUCGAAAGAAAGAUUAAUACCGGAUAGCAUAGCGAGAAGGCAUCUUCUUGCUAUUGAAGAAUUUCGAUAACCGAUGGGGAUGCGUUCCAUUAGUUUGUUGGCGGGGUAACGGCCCACCAAGACAUCGAUGGAUAGGGGUUCUGAGAGGAAGGUCCCCCACAUUGGAACUGAGACACGGUCCAAACUCCUACGGGAGGCAGCAGUGAGGAAUAUUGGUCAAUGGGCGAAAGCCUGAACCAGCCAUGUCGCGUGAAAAGGAUGAAGGUCCUAUGGAUUGUAAACUUCUUUUGCAGGAGGGUAAAGUGAGCUACGUGUAGUUCAUUGCAAGUACCCUGCGAAUAAGCAUCGGCUAACUCCGUGCCAGCCGCCGC
This 518-nucleotide ribosomal RNA is filed under the name uncultured bacterium. RNAcentral's name for it is "bacterial SSU rRNA". It matches the Rfam family "Bacterial small subunit ribosomal RNA", at positions 8 to 518 of the family's 1533-position model. The record is from RNAcentral.